UACAGAGGGUGCGAGCGUUAAUCGGAAUUACUGGGCGUAAAGCGUGCGUAGACGGUUCUGUGUGUCGGAUGUGAAAGCCCCGGGCUCAACCUGGGAAUGGCAUUCGAAACUGCGGAGCUAGAGUGCGGAAGAGGGAAGUGGAAUUUCCGGUGUAGCGGUGAAAUGCGUAGAUAUCGGAAGGAACACCAGUGGCGAAAGCGACUUCCUGGUCCAGCACUGACGUUGAGGCACGAAAGCGUGGGGAGCAAACAGG
Molecule: ribosomal RNA, 253 nt
Filed under: uncultured bacterium
Lineage: Bacteria
Description: partial 16S ribosomal RNA
Rfam family: Bacterial small subunit ribosomal RNA
Source: RNAcentral